This 447-nucleotide ribosomal RNA is filed under the name uncultured bacterium. Its description in RNAcentral is "bacterial SSU rRNA". It matches the Rfam family "Bacterial small subunit ribosomal RNA", at positions 329 to 792 of the family's 1533-position model. The record is from RNAcentral.
UGCCAGACUCCUACGGGAGGCAGCAGUGGGGGAUAUUGCACAAUGGGGGGAACCCUGAUGCAGCGACGCCGCGUGGGUGAAGGAGUGCUUCGGCAUGUAAAGCCCUAUCGGCAGGGAAGAAGCCAGACGGUACCUGACUAAGAAGCCCCGGCUAACUACGUGCCAGCAGCCGCGGGAAUACGUAGGGGGCAAGCGUUAUCCGGAUUUACUGGGUGUAAAGGGAGCGUAGACGGCUGUGCAAGCCAGAUGUGAAAGCCCGGGGCUCAACCCCGGGACUGCAUUUGGAACUGCGUGGCUUGAGUGUCGGAGAGGCAGGCGGAAUUCCUAGUGUAGCGGUGAAAUGCGUAGAUAUUAGGAGGAACACCAGUGGCGAAGGCGGCCUGCUGGGCUUUUACUGACGCUGAGGCUCGAAAGUGUGGGGAGCAAACAGGAUUAGAUACCCGAGUA